AACGAACGCUGGCGGCAGGCUUAACACAUGCAAGUCGAACGCCCCGCAAGGGGAGUGGCAGACGGGUGAGUAACGCGUGGGAAUCUACCCAGAUCUUCGGAACAACUGAGGGAAACUUCAGCUAAUACCGGAUACGCCCUACGGGGGAAAGAUUUAUCGGUUCUGGAUGAGCCCGCGUUGGAUUAGCUAGUUGGUGGGGUAAUGGCCUACCAAGGCGACGAUCCAUAGCUGGUCUGAGAGGAUGAUCAGCCACACUGGGACUGAGACACGGCCCAGACUCCUACGGGAGGCAGCAGUGGGGAAUAUUGGACAAUGGGCGAAAGCCUGAUCCAGCCAUGCCGCGUGAGUGAUGAAGGCCUUAGGGUUGUAAAGCUCUUUCAGUAGGGAAGAUAAUGACGGUACCUACAGAAGAAGCCCCGGCUAACUUCGUGCCAGCCGCCGCCGUAA
This 447-nucleotide ribosomal RNA is filed under the name uncultured bacterium. RNAcentral's name for it is "partial 16S ribosomal RNA". It matches the Rfam family "Bacterial small subunit ribosomal RNA", at positions 29 to 523 of the family's 1533-position model. The record is from RNAcentral.